AUUGAACGCUGGCGGCAGGCCUAACACAUGCAAGUCGAGCGGAUGAAGGGAGCUUGCUCCUGGAUUCAGCGGCGGACGGGUGAGUAAUGCCUAGGAAUCUGCCUGGUAGUGGGGGAUAACGUCCGGAAACGGGCGCUAAUACCGCAUACGUCCUGAGUGAGAAAGUGGGGGAUCUUCGGACCUCACGCUAUCAGAUGAGCCUAGGUCGGAUUAGCUAGUUGGUGGGGUAAAGGCCUACCAAGGCGACGAUCCGUAACUGGUCUGAGAGGAUGAUCAGUCACACUGGAAAUGAGACACGGUCCCGACUCCUAAGGGAAGCAGCAGUGGGGAAUAUUGGACCAUGGGCGAAAGCCUGAUCCAGCCAUGCCGCGUGUGUGAAGAAGGUCUUCGGAUUGUAAAGCACUUUAAGUUGGGAGGAAGGGCAGUAAGUUAAUACCUUGCUGUUUUGACGUUACCAACAGAAUAAGCACCGGCUAACUUCGUG
This 484-nucleotide ribosomal RNA is filed under the name uncultured bacterium. Its description in RNAcentral is "partial 16S ribosomal RNA". It matches the Rfam family "Bacterial small subunit ribosomal RNA", at positions 30 to 507 of the family's 1533-position model. The record is from RNAcentral.